RNAcentral lists this long non-coding RNA (3666 nucleotides) under Sus scrofa (pig). Its description in RNAcentral is "lncRNA (ENSSSCG00025068703.1, ENSSSCG00065022541.1)". Lineage: Eukaryota; Metazoa; Chordata; Mammalia; Artiodactyla; Suidae. The record is from RNAcentral.
UUUUUUUUUUUUUUUUUUUUUUUUCUUUUUUGGCCACCCUGUGGCAUAUGGAUAUCCUCAAGCCAGGGGUCAUAUCUGAGCCACAGUUGCAACUUACACUGCAGCUUGGCAAUGGCAGAUCCUUUAACCCACUGUGCAGGCCAGGGAUUGAACCUGUAUCCUGGUGCUGCGGAGAUGCUACCAAUCAUGUUGCACCACAGCAGGAACUCCCCAAAUGUAAUUUUCUAUUUUCAGUGAAACUAUCUUCAGAAACAAAGAGGAAAUAAAGGUAUUUGUAAAUGAACAAUGUUAAAAUAAUUUGCCAUUAACAGACCUAAACUUAAAGCUAGACUAAAUGUCUUAAUGUUUGCAGUACAAUGAUCAAAGAAGAAAUAAGAAAGAAAAACAGUUAAGAGUAGAAAUGUAAGAAUAUACUAUAGAUUAUAUUUCUCCUCUAAAGAAUAUAUCAAUCAUACUUGAUAAUUAUAACAGAAAUUAUAACAUGAUCUGAUAUCAAAAACAACAAUAUUUUGGAGUUCCCGUGGUGGCUCAGUGGUUAAUGAAUCCGACUAGAACCAUGAGGUUGCGGGUUCAAUCCCUGGCCUUGCUCAGUGGGUUACAGAUGUGGUGUUACCAUGAGCUGUGGUGUAGGUUGCAGACACGGCUCAGAUCCCAUGUUGCUGUGGCUCUGGCGUAGGCCAGCAGCUACAGCUCUGAUUAGACCCCUAGCCUGGGACCCUCCAUAUGCUGGGGGUGCAGCCCUAAAAAAGGCAAAAAGACAAAAAACAAAUAAAUAAAAAUAAAAUAAGGAUAAAAAAUAAAAAGCAACAAUAUUUUCAAAUACAAAAGAUAAAACUAAAAGGAAUCACUAAAUAAUGGUCAUCCCUCAACAAGCUAAACUCAGAAAUGUUUAAUGAGCGGAAGAAUCAGAUUUCCAAAUUACCACAUUAUACUUUUAUAUUCAGAAUGCCCCUUUCUCAACCACAAUAAUAACAACAAAAUUAAAAAUCAUACAAAGGAAAGUUGAUUCACAGGAAAGUAUUUGGCAGAAACCAUGGAAAAGAAGAAAUCAGCAAAGCUAUGUAAGCAAAAUAAGAAUAUCAAUAAAGAGAUACAAUUAUGAAAAGAAGGAAAGUAUGAUUAUCCCAUUGUGGCUUAGUGGGUUAAGAGCCCGAAUAGUAUCCAUGAGGAGUGGGUUUGAUCCCUGGCCUCAUUCAGUGGGUUAAGGAUCCAGCAUUGCUGUGAGCUGCUGCAUGGGUUGCAGAUACAGCUUGGAUCCCACAUUGCUGUGGGUGUGGCAAAGGCCAGCAGGUACAGUUCCAAUUCAACCCCUAGCCUGGGAACUUCCAUAUGCCAUGGGUGAAGCCCUAAAAAGAAAAAAAAAAAAAUAUAUGAAAAGGAAUCAAACCAAAAUUCUGGAAAUGGAAGUUACAAUAGCUGAAAUGAAAAUAGAGAUAUUCAACAGCAGAUCAGAGGAAGCAGAAAAAAGGACCAAUGAAUUUGGAGAUAAGGCAAUUCAAAUUAUAUAUACAGUCUAAGGAACAGGAAAAAAAGGAAGGCAGUCUGAUGGACUUGAAUAUCAAAAAUAUCAACAUUGGAGUUCCCGUGGUAGCACAGCAGAAGCAAAUCCGACUGGGAACCAUGAGGUUGUGGGUUUGAUCCCUGGCCUUGCUCAGUGGGUUAAGGAUCCGGUGUUGUCGUGAGCUGUGGUGUAGGCCGCAGACAUGGCUCAGAUCUGGCAUUGCUCUGGCUGUGGUGUAGGCUGGCAGCUACAGCUCCAAUUAGACUCCUAGCCUGGGAACCUCCAUAUGCCACAGGUGCUGCCCAAAAAAGCAAAAAUAAAAUAAAAUAAAAAACCCUCAACACAGGCAUAAUAGAGUUCUGGGAGAAGACAGAAAGAAACUAAAAGAGACAGAAAGAAUACUUAAGAAAUAAUGGCCAGAAACUUCCCCAAACUGACGAAAUACAUGAAUAUACACCUCCAAGAUACUCAACAAAUACCAAGCUGAGUAAGACAUCCACACCAAUAUACAUUAUAGUAAAUUAUCAAAACACAAACAUAGAGAAUUUUUCGGGUAGCAAGAGAGAACAGACUCAUCAUGUACAAGAGAUUUUUCAGUAAGAUUAACAGCUGAUUUUCCAUCAGUACUGUGGAGGCCAGAAGACAUGAGAUGGUAUAUUUCAAGUCCUGAAAGAGGAGCUCCCGCUGUGUCUCAACAGGAUUGGCAGCGUCUCGGAGCACUGAUACAUGGGUUCAAUCCCUGGCCUGGUACAGUGUGUAAAGGAUCUGGUGUUGCCGCAGCUGCAGCUUAAAUCACAACUGCGGCUCAGAUCUGAUCCUUAUCCUGGGAGCUCCAUAUGCCACAAGAUGGCCAAAAAUGAAAAACAAAAUAAAAAGAAAGAGAGAACUGUCAACCAAUAAUUCUAUAUCCAGCAAAGUCAUCCUUGAACAGUGAAUGAGAAAUUAAGACAUUUCCAUAGUAACAAAAACAGAUGGUGAAUUACCAUAGACCCACCCUGCAGGAGAUGAUAGGGAAGACCUUCACAUUGAAAUGAAAAGACCCUAGACAUUAACUCAAAGUUAGAAGAAAUAGGAGUUCCCUGGUGCCCCAGAGGGUUGAGGAUCUAGAGUUGUCACUGCUUGGCUCAAGUUUGAUCCCUGGCCUAGGAACUUCUGCAUACCACACGCAUGACCAAAAAAAUAAAAUACUCCCCGAAAAGUAGAAGAAAUAAAUUAAAAUGGCAAAGGUGACUACAUAAGUAAAUAUAAAGGCUGAUAUUAUUGUACUUUAGCUUUGUAACUCCUCUUUUUUUCCUAUAUGACUUAAAAGGCAAAUACAUAAAGCAAUAAUUAUAAAUCAAUGUCAAUGAGAAAAUAAUCUAUAAAGAUGUAAUCUUUGACAACAAUGAUAUAAAGGGUAAGGAUGGAAAUGUCUACAAGCUGAGUAUUUCUACACUGUUGAUAAGCUGAUAUUAUUCAUGCAAAAUUUGUUUACUUAAAACGAUUUUUUUUUUGUCUUUUGUCUUUUUUAGGGCUACACCCAUGGCAUAUGGAGGUUCCCAGUCUAGGGGUCUAAUCGGAGCUACAGUUGCUGGCCUAUGCCAGAGCCACAGCAACGCCACAUCCGAACCACGUCUGCAAACUACACCACAGGUCACAGCAACACCAGAUCCUUAACCCACUGAGCCAGGCCAGAGAUCCAACUAGCAACCUCAUGGUCCCUAGCCAGAUUCAUUUCUGCUGCACCACGAUGGGAACUCCUACUUAAAACAAUUGUUAAUUUCAACCCCCAAGGUAAUCACUUAGAAAAUAACUUAAAAAUUUUUUUUAAAAAAGAGAAUCAAAAUGUACACUACAAAAAAUAAAAUAAAAUACAAAAAAAAAACAAUAGAGGAACCAAAUAUAUAUAAGAUAUAGAAAAAAACAAAUAAGCAGGAGUUCACAUCAUGGCUCAGUGGUUAAUGAAUCUGACUAGCAUCCACGAGGACACAGGUUUAAUCCCUGGCCUCGCUCAGUGGGUUAAGGACCCAGCUUUGCCAUGAGCUGUGGUGUAGGUCACAGAUGUGGCUGGGAUCCCACGUUGCUGUGGUGUAGGCCGGCAGUUGCUGCUCUGAUUUGACCCCCAGCCUGGGAACCUCCAUACGCCACAAAAGACAAGACAAAAAAAAAAAAAAAAAAAAAAAAAA